CCUAGCAUGCAUCUUUGGCUUCCUGAUUAUUCUCAAAACUACAACAAUCAAUCAAAGUUUAAGAGAAAAUAGCAGGUCCUUGUAGCUCCCAUACAUCGAGGACAGGUUGCACAGAAAUAAGAAAUUGCGAUCAAGUAAAGCUUUCAAUUAGGUACUCAUAAAUUAAAUAAUAAGGUUUUAUCCGGUUAAAGACGAGCAAAUUAACCCAGCAAUAAAUUGUAGAGCCAAAAUGGCAGCUAACUGGUGCUUAACAAUCAAUACAUGUAGUAAUCUAAUUCUUUUGCGCACUUUUGAGGUCAAGGAAUCAAAGAGUCAAAAUCAACCAAUCCAAGAGUAAAAAACCAAGAAAUGAGAUAGACAGAAAUCAGAGGUGAUCUUGGCUCCAAGGACAGUAAAUAUCUGACCUUUCCUUCGUUCUCUGUUUUUGGGUCUUCACCUGAGGCUGUCUAUUCGUUUUUUAUGUUUGUCGACCAAGAAGAAAAGAAAAUUCAGCUCUGGUCAUGUUAGUGUGCCAGAUCCAAGUAGGCCAGAUUUAUGGCCACCCCCUCUACCUACCUCAACACUUCAUCAUCUACAUCAAACCUAAAAGAAGCCCUAAAUUUUCCAAUUGAAGACUUAUUAAAAUCUUCCACGAUGCAAAGGUAAUUGCUUUAGGUCAAAAGGAAAAAAUCUUGCAGCAAUCAGAAAGUUUGAUGCUUUCUGCAGCCAAGCAGACAAGGAAUACUAAACAGUACCAUAACAUCCAUCCAUGGCCGUUACAGUAGCUGACAAACCUCGACUUGGCCCUAAAAUAAGAUUACUCGUGGCUUUUUUCAACAGAAAAUGUACCGGUAACCUGUAAAUUCCAGUUGCACAAAACCCCAACACCUCUUUUUUGGUAAAAGCGAGAAGAAAACAAAACAAAUCAACACAACUAGAGAGCUUCAGUGCACGAGACCAUCGAAUCGUCUUCUGUUCGCAAUUGGAUAAGAACAAUGACAAUUCCAGUUAUUGGAUUAUGUUAAUUCUGAGAUUCCUCCUCCUCCUACCCAACUCACCAUCUCACUUCAAUUUGAUUUUGUUCGAUAAUAAACUCUCCUUCCACUCCAUUCCUGUACAGCUUUGUAUCAACACCCAUUUCGCAAUUGAUCCCAGAUAUCCACCUAAAUUGAGGUUUGAGGAGUUGAAUUUCCGGCGAAACCAGGUCCAGUGGAGACAGAAGUGUAUUAAGCAACGUCGUCUGUAGAGUUUCGGUUUAGGUCUCAGAGUGACUUUUCGCUAUCUAUCUCACAGCAAGGAAAGUACUGAGUCUGAAGAAGAAGAGGAAGAGAGCCGAGCUUCGAAUAUGAAAUGGGUUGUGGCAUGGAUGGAAUUACGAAAUUGCCACCAUGGGGAUCGCCGGUUUUUCGCUAAAAAGUUGACACGUGUCAGGCUAUUAGGGGUUUUGAUAAUUCCGCUGCAAGAGAGAGAGAACUUGCAGGUCAGGAAAGAGAUGUUUUAACACAUCAAGUCUAAUAAAACUUAUUAAAUAUUUAAAUUUAUAAAAAUUAAAUUUAUAAUAAUCAUGAUAAUUAAUUAUAGAUUAAUAAUAUUAUUCUUAGAUUUAUAUAAAAAAAAUUUUAAAAAUUAUUCAUGAUUACAAUAUGCUUUAAUUUUUAUAAAAUAUAUUUUAUAAAAUUUUAGAAUAUUAUUAAUAAUCAAUAAAAAAAACUUAAUUUUUAUUUAAUUAUUUUAAAUUUUAUAGUUUCAAAUAUUUAAUAAAGUAUUCAAUAAAUUAAUUUUGAUUACUAUAUAUAAACUCAAAUAAAAAGCUAUGUAAUCUCCCUAAUAUUUAUGGUUUAUUUUCAUUUUUUUAUCUUAAUUAUGGUAUUUUUUAAAGAUUAUACUUUAAAAUUUUAUUAAUUUUAAUAAUAAUCUAGCAAUAUAAAAUAUUUAAUUUUUACAAUUUAAAUGAAAUUAUAUUUAUUACCCUUAUUAUUUUGCAGUAUCACUUUUUAAAUUAAUUAAUUUUUCUAAUGAUCGUAAAAUUAUAUUUAUUAAAAUUUAUUAAAUAUAAGUAUUAAAAAACUACACAAUAUUAUAAAAAAUGAAAUAUAUAUUUAUAACGUAAUAAUUUUAUUACAAGUUUAGAUAUUUAUGUAAUAUAAUAAAUAUUUUAAUAUUAUUUUUAAUAUUUGAUUCAAAAAAAUAUAUUAUUUUUAAUAUAUUAAAGUAGUGACACUGUAAUUUAAAAUAAUAUCAAUUAUAAAUUUAUUGAUAUUUAAUAUAUUUUAUUAUUUUUAAUAUAUAAAAAUAGUAUAAAAGUCGAUAAUAAAUAAAAUUAUACUAAAAAUAUUUAUAAUUAUAAAAUAAUAUUAUUUUAUGACUAAACAUGUAACAGAUUAAAAUAUAUUAUAAAAAAUAAUUAAAAAGAUUUUAUCACACUUGUACGAUAUUAUUAGAUUUUUUUAUAAAAAAUAUUAUUCUAUUAUUAAAUUGUAUAAUAUUUUAUAAUUUAUAAAUUAAUUAAUUAAUAUGUACAUUUAAAGUUAUAAGAAUUAAAUUUAAAUUUAAAAUUUAAAAUAUUUUAAUAUUAUUUAUAAUAUAAUAUUUUAUAAAAAUAAAUAUUUUAAUAUUAUUUUUAAUACAUUAAUGUAUUAAUAUUGAUAUUAAUAUAUAAAAGUACCAUAAAAAUCGAUAAUAAAAUAAACUACUCAGAAAAUAUUUAAAGUUAUGAAAUGAUAUUAGAUUGCAAUUAAAUAUGUACAAAAUUAUUGAAUUAUUUAUAAUUCAAAUGAAAAAUAAAUAAAUUAAUAUAAAUAUUUAAAAUUAUAAAAUUAAAAUUACAUAUUUAAUUGCACAAUAAUAUUAGUUUUAUAAUAUUAAAAUUAUAUAAAUUAAUAAUUUUAUUUAAAUAUUAAUAAUAAAUUAUUUAUAAUUCAUAAAAAUAAAUAAAUAAAUAUAAAUAUAAUUUAUUUUCCUAUUAUUAUACAUAUUUAAUUGUAAAAUAAUAUUAAUUUUAUAAUACUGAAUUAUAUAAUACAAAUAAUUUUUUAUUUAAAUAUUAAUAAUAAAAUAUAUUUAAUAUUAAUAUAUUAAAAAUUAUAAAGAAUAAUUAAAAAAAUUAUAUUAUAAUAUAAAUAUAUUAUAAUAAUAUAAAAAAUAAAAAAUAAAAAAUAAGUAAUUAUUGGUCUAGCCCCGCUCAUACGGGCGCCACGUCAAAAGUUCAGUCGUUAAAUAUUUUUGUUAUUGUCGGCUGGCCUUUGCCGAUCUAUAUGUUUUCCUUAAUAAUAAUUAAAAAAAAAAUUAUCUUUUGACUCAGCGCAUUUUACGAACCCGCUAAAAUUCAUAUUUGAUAAAUAAGUUUAUCCUCAGUCUAAAUUGAUAAAUUAUUUUUUUUAGCCCAAAAAAGUAAAAAGCCCAAAUAUUAGAAGUACCAAUAAAGAGAAUAGCAAUAAAGUAUUUAAUUUAAUUAGGAUGAAAUAAGUAUUUUAUUUUCUUUAUAUCUACAAAUAUAGAAUUAAUAAUUAAUAGAUAUAAUAAGCAUUUGCAUGGGAAGAAAAAAAAUUGAAGAGGGAGGAAUAUUUUCACUUAUUUUAUGUUAAUUAAAGGAAAAUAUGAAAAAAAAAUAAAAAUUAUUUUUCACUAUGGAGUGAAAAAUAAAUAUAAUUACAUUACAAAAGGUAAAAUAGUUAUUUUCAUAUUAAAAAAAUUAGUUUUCCUAGAAAAUAACUUUUUUUUACUUAUUUUAUUUUCUAUAUUAUUUUUCACUCCUAUUUUUAUUUUUCCUCUAAAAAAAUUCUAAACAAAGGUUAAGAAUGUGUUUAAUUAUAAUUAACAUGCAUGUUUUAUAAAAUUAAUUUUCUUAUUUUUCAAAAAAAUUUAAAAAAUAUGUUCAUUUUUAACUCUUUUAUGAGAAAAGAUAAAACGAAAUUUAUGUUUUCUAAAUUUUAUAAAAAAAUUAAAAAAUAUUAAAAUAAUUAUUUUGCAUAUUUUUUUAUUAUAUUAAAAAAUUUUAAAAAUAUAAUUUUUUAAAAUAAAAAUACAUAACUGUACAGAUAUUCUCUCUCUAUAUAUCCUUUUAUCUUCUCAUCUAAUCUGAUUCUGUCUCUCAUCUCAUUCUAAUCUUCUACUUCUCAUCUCAACUUCUUCUGUUUCUCUCUAAAUUCUGUUCACAGACUUUCUUAACAGUAUGCCUCAGGCGUCUGAUGGUCGAAACCUUAUACUAUGAAAAGAAUGUGAAGUCAAGUAAUCGGUUGGAAAAUGCAAAUACAGAUGGAUUUCUGUACCAUUUCUAAUCAAUAUGAUAAACACUUUACUGAUAUGUUAAAUGAGUGGGCAGGCCAACAAAAGGAAAAGCAUACAUGAAUCCUGAAAUUGCUACAAGAGACGGUUGCUUGCACUAUUUACGAGCAAACUUCAAAAUAAAAACCAAAGCAGGUUUGAAUUUGGAUUAAGCUAGUCAAUAACAAAAGAAACCCAACGAUCAAUAGUAAGCAUACCAACUAGCAUUCCUUGCAGAUUAGAAGGGCUUCCCGUAACCCUGUGGUGUUGGCUGCUCCCAAGCUGGUAUGAAGCCUGUGAAAAAAAAUAGCAAGAGAGUUACAAUAAAAGGAAGGUUUAAAGAAUCAUAAAAGGGUACUGCAAGAAAAAGUACUAUGCAAGCUAGAAGUGAAUUCUUUUUGCUGCACUAUGACUGAUGUUAAGUGAGAACCUUGAUCAAGACCAAAUCAAUUCUUAACAAUUUUCCUACUUUUAAGACAAACUAGACACCCCUGCCUCACGAAAACUAGCACCGUUUUGCCUUAUGGCAUAUUUCAAAUUUAAAAAAAAAUACAUGUUAUAUAAAACUCAAAAUGCUUCGAGCACAUCAACCCUCUCUAUAGCCCAGAGUAUGCUUCGUGCGCCAACUCUUUUCUUCAUGAAAAUUCAGGAUAUGCUUCUCUCCCUCUCCCUUGUGGCACAUUUUAAAUUCAAAAAAAAAAAACUUCUAUAUAGAACUCGGAAUGCUUUGUGCGCAUCAACCCUCUCCAUAACCCACAACUGUAGGAUGCUUCGUGCAAUGGGUAACCCCUUUUUUAUGAAAACUCAGGAUAUGGUUUGUUGAAUUCUCUCUCGACUCUAUCUCUCUCCCCCCACCCCCUGAAAUUUACAACGGAAAGAAAAUACUCCCUCCACAGAAUCUGACCUCAUUGUAUGCAUCUAAGUAAAACACUACAGAAUAAGGACAAUUAUCAUUGCUGCAUAUCAAAACAUAAAAUAAGUUUGGAAGAUAGAACCAGGGAUAUAACUUUCUAUGAUGAUAUUGUGUCGGAUCAAUCAGAUCAUAAUCAAUUCAAGAAUGUUGCACAUUCAUGUACGCUUGCAACAUUAUGCAUGGCUAGCAAAAGAUGUUUUAUCAAAAAUAAUACACUUGGACAUACAUGUUAUGAAGGAUCCCAACAAAGUAGCCGUGGCGAUGGAAGAGAACCUAAGUUAAACCUUAAUCCUUUCUUAUUUUAGUGACAAAUUUUGGCAUGGAUCACAUUCAAUUAGACCUGGCCAAAGCUUCAGUUCCAGGUCAGAACUUGCAGUUUCAGGAGCUUAAGGUUCACGGUUCAAGGGGACAGGAACCAGACCACAGGCUCCCCCUCUGGUUCCAGUUCGAUACUGGUUUUGCUAAAAUUCAACAGGUUGAAAAUUUUCACAACUUUAUAAUUUUUAUUUUAUAUAUGGUUCCGAUCUGGUUCUAAGGUCAAUCCAAUUUGGCCAAGUUUACAUUCAGAAUCAGCCUUGGUUGGAUCUACAUUCAAAGCAAUGCCCAAACAUCACCAAUCCCCAUCUUAUACUAAAUGUACCUACUACAACAGCAGACCUUGAAAGAAAUCCUUUAACCAUUAAUUGAAUCUCCGUGUUAGCAAAAGGACAAAAAAACGUUAAAACUAAAGUUGUAAGCUUUCCAUUAUAUUAGCAAAAAAUAUAUUCCAUAGACAUGUAUACCAUAACCAAAUUGACAUUGGGUGCAUAUAGUCCAUUAAGGCCUGCUUUGCAUUGAGGUUCUGGGCCAAAAAAGUGCUAUUCAAAAGAAGCACUGUUUUAGAUACUGUAGAAAAAGUUGUUAUUUUAGCGUUCUCAUUUUAGAUAUGUCAAAUUUAACUUCAAAUCAAUUUUUAACACCUUAUAGCUAAACUAUCUAAGAAGUGUUAUUCUCAACAUCAAUCCCAAAUGGAUUCUAACUUGCUAUUGCAAAAGCAUAUUAGGCAGGUCCACCACAUGCACUCUAAACAUAAAUCAAAUCAUGAAAUUAAAUAUCUGACAUACUCAAUGGUAUUUCUCCCAGAGACAUGUAAAUUGAGUCAUCAUCACCGAGAGUGCCCUGAAACAACCAGGAUAAGAAAAGAUAAGUUAAUCAUGAACUGCAUUAAGAAAAUGCAUCUAUCUGAGUAAUGCAUUGCAAUAUUGCACUAAAUAAUAGUAUGUAAAGAAAUACCGAUUUAAGGACAAAAAUUUGACAUGCAUCAAAAAUAAAACCCAGUGCACAUAAGAUGAAUAAUCUAUACUAUAUAUAAAAGUGGGAAAAGAGGGAAAUAUUAGAACUUCCUAAACUACCCCACUAUGUUUUAUUAAUCACAAUUUUAUUGUUAUUUAAAAAUUUUAAUUUAAUUAUUUAAUUAUAUUUGUAUUCUAUUUAAAUUUAAAUUGAUUAAACAAAUCUCUCAACAUUUAAAUUAUAGUUGAUUAAAUUUUAUCAUAGAAGAUGUUUUUUAACAUUUAAAUUCUAUUUAUUGAAAUUUUAUCAUAAGUUCAAUUGUAAUUUUUAUAAUCUAUUUAAUCUCUGUAAUCUCUAGAUUAUAUUAAAUCAAUCAUAUCUUAGAAUCAUAUCAAUUCUAUCAUUAUCUUUAUAGAUCCGUCUUUAUUUUUGUACUACUCUUAUAUAUAGAUAUCAAAAGAGAUUGUUCUAUCCAAUUAUUUCUUUCAUUUUUUUAUGGAAAUUUAGCAGAGGUUGGGAUUAUGAAAUCUUACGUCAUCAUCAUUUCAAAGGGAAAGAAAAUGAAUUCUUUAGAAAGAGGAGUUCAUAACACUUCUAGAACAAUAAAUUUGAAAAAAUAGUUCUCACUAUCGAUAAGAGUUCAACCAAGAACAAAAAGAUUAUGCAACCCUACAAGACCGAGAGAAAUGCUUAUUUUCUAGAGCCUUUUUCUGACUUUAUCUAUUAUUUUUACACCAUUACUUUGAAAUAUUAUUAUGCUCAUAAAUAAUAAUCAAUUGUUUAAAAAUAUCAAUAGAAUUUUAUUUUUUUAGUGAUAUUAGAUUUAAUUUUCUUAAAAUUAUGAAAAAUAAAUAAUUUCUUAACAAAAAAAAUACAUGCAAAGCAGGUCAAAGAAAUCUAGUUAGAUAAACAAACACAGGGUUAAUUCAAGGACAAACUUAAAUUUAAUCUCAUUGUCGGCACUUGAAAUUUUCUCAAGUAACAUAUCAAAUUUAACUCCUCCAGAAAUUAGGGUUAGAGAUUACGCAAAUACAUCAACAAAAAUCAUGUCGUAUAGAUGACUAUUUCUAUAGUACCUCUCCAUUAUGAAGACUCAUCUCAUUCUGCAGUGGAUUGAUGUCCUCUGUUACAGAAGUACAGUUUGAAAAAGUGGUAAGGAACUCUGAAAUUGUAAGACUAUCAUAGCUAUCUGGAACCUCAGUUAUAUCUCCAGCAUUCUGUGCAUUAUUCGGAAUCCCCUCUGUGCCAGUAAACGUUGUUUCCCUGAAUAAUUGAAAAACUUAAGACCAGAAACAGAAAUGCAAGCUUUGCAGAAACUAGCAAUUGCAUCUUACUGACAAACUGGAACGAACACAGGGGAAGAGUAAUAGACUAUAUAUUUUCAUUUGAGAAGUUGAAAGGGAUAUAAAAUAAGAAAAUAAUGAUAAGAGGCACAUACUCUCGCUGUGAAUUAUAAAAAGCCUUAUCUCCUGAGUUGGAAUCAUUCUCCAAAUCAAUGACUUCAAUAUGUUUGCCAUUAUUUGCAUUGCUUACUGACAAAUCAAUUUCAACCUGUGCAUCUUCUUUAUUGCUUGCUGGAAUAGACGGGUACACAAGAACUGGGUCAUUACAAUGGUAAUCAUUUAUAUCAGCAGCUUCCAUUAAAUUGAGGUCACAGAUCUUAAACGAACUUGGAAAAAGUUGUUUCUCUUGCGUGUACCCUGCACUUGGUUCACCAACUGACUUUUGAAAUUGAUGACUAUGAAUUGAGUUGUCUUGAGUGACAGCAACACUCACUGGAUGAUCAGGUGAAGGUUUCCCUGCUUGUGAGCUAUCUUGAUUUUGACUAUAAUUAGAGAGAUGAAGCUGGUCAUUGGCUUUACUAACCAAUGAUGGAAAACAUUCUCUAGGCUUCUUGGUUGCCUCAUUCAUAUCAUCAUCUUCAGCAGUUCGUUUCUCACCUACCUCCUUAACUGAUGUGGACCUUCCAAAGCUUGCCAUCCCCUGACUUAAUUCUUGCUUGCUGUCACGCAUAAAAGCCCUAUCUGGAAAGGAUUGAGACCUCAUGCAUUUACCCUGCCCAGAAACAAAUGGGGGGCCUAUUUCUCCAAUAUAUUCAUUAGAAUGUGCAGGCACUACUUUAGACAUUUCAAGAUCACAUUUUGAAUCCUGCGUUGUAUUUGGUAGUGAAUCACCGGUGGAGAAAUCAAGAGUGGCAUCUGGAACUGAGACUUCAGAUCCUUUGGGAGGCCCAACAUCAGAUGAUUUUUGCUCUUCCUUGUUGGGAACUUGGUCAACCUUGGGGACCCUGUACGUCAAUGCAGACCGUGUUUUAGUUGGGACCUUCACAAAUUUGCAGAAUGUUAGUAAAUCAGAUCCAUGCUUGCUAGAGAGAUCACCCUCCACUGCACAGGAGUGGAUAGGUGAGUCCUCAGAAAUAAUUUGUUUCUCGGUUUCAUGACUAUGAUUGUAGUCCAUCUCCUCAUUCCCAGAAUUCAAGUUUGCCAAAUCAUCAGACACCUUAGAAGGUUCCCCAUCAGUCUCAUCUUUCCCAAUGCUAAAAGAAGUUGCCUUGGAACCCAUGUCAUCUUUGAACUCUGCUCCUGAUUCAAUUUCAGUUGCCUCCUCACUCUCUGGUGCCGACCCACUCUGACCAAACUUCCCAUCAACAUCUUCACCAACUUGAUGCUCUUCAUAGUGUCCAGAAAUAGAAUCAUCAUCCCCCUCCGUAUCAAGAGACAUCUGAUUUCUAUCUGACCACGACCCGCUCCUCCCGUAUUCCCUGCCCCAAUCCGAGCUAUAAUUCCGAUGAUAAUACUCUCCUCUCCUCCUACCUUUUACAUGAUUUCUCGAAUUGAAAUCAUCAGAAUACCUUCUCCUACCUGCUCCAGCAUCAGAAACAACACUUCCUAGGCGGGAACGGGCAGAUGUUCGGCCCUCCUGUGCAAAGUCCUCUUGUACCCUAAAAUCCUGAUAGUCUCCAGCUUGCUUCCUUAAACUACCAUUCUGCCACUUACCAGAAAGUGCAUUCUCAGGUAACAAUCCCUUGGAAACUAAAUAUUCAGCUGCAAGUCUACCCGCUUCCAUCAAAAUGUCUCCUUUACGUGGUGGUGGCUGAGGUGGCUGUUGAAAAGAUUUGGGCUGGCCCUGGCCACGGCCAAAGCCACGAUUAUUGAAGCUUCUGUAUUCAGAAUUGUAAAAUCCAUGGCCUCUGGCUGAGCUAUCUGGGGAUAUCCUCGAGGCACCCAUCCCCAUCGAACUAGACCUGUACCCAUUUCCAGGACUUCGGUGCCUAGCAUGCAUCUUCGGCUUCCUGAUUAUUCUCAAACAGUAUUAAACUACAACAAUUAAUCAAAGCAAGAAAAGAUAGCAGGUGCUUGUAGCUCCCAUAAAUCGAGGACAUGCAGUACAGAAAUAAGAAAUUGCGAUCCUGAAGCAAGUAACGCCUUCAAUUAGGAACCAUAAAUUGUAAGGUUUUAUCUUGUUAGAGACGAGCAAAUUAACCCAGCAAUCAAUACAUGUAGUAAUCAAAGAGCCAAAAUGGCAGCUAACGGGUGCUUAUUGCGCACUUUUGAGGUCCAGGAAUCAAAGAGUCAAAAUCAACCAAAUCCAAGAGUAAAAAAACCAAGAAAUGAGAUAAUCCACAAAUCAGAGACGAUCUUGGUUCCAAAGACAGUAAAUAUCUGACCUU
This 10097-nucleotide long non-coding RNA is filed under the name Manihot esculenta (cassava). RNAcentral's name for it is "long non-coding RNA (MESC_LNC000029)". The record is from RNAcentral. Lineage: Eukaryota; Viridiplantae; Streptophyta; Magnoliopsida; Malpighiales; Euphorbiaceae.